Molecule: unclassified non-coding RNA, 351 nt
Filed under: soil metagenome
Description: partial contains 5.8S ribosomal RNA, internal transcribed spacer 2, and large subunit ribosomal RNA
Rfam family: 5.8S ribosomal RNA (bases 1-120)
Source: RNAcentral
GAUGAAGAACGCAGCGAAAUGCGAUAAGUAAUGUGAAUUGCAGAAUUCAGUGAAUCAUCGAAUCUUUGAACGCACAUUGCGCCCGCCAGUAUUCUGGCGGGCAUGCCUGUUCGAGCGUCAUUACAACCCUCAGGCCCCCGGGCCUGGCGUUGGGGAUCGGCGGAGCCCCCCGUGGCACACGCCGUCCCCCAAAUGCAGUGGCGGUCCCGCCGCAGCUUCCAUCGCGUAGUAGCUAACACCUCGCGACUGGAGAGCGGCGCGGCCACGCCGUAAAACACCCAACUCUUCUGAAGUUGACCUCGAAUCAGGUAGGAAUACCCGCUGAACUUAAGCAUAUCAAUAAGCGGAGGA